UACGUAGGGUGCGAGCGUUGUCCGGAAUUAUUGGGCGUAAAGAGCUCGUAGGCGGUCUGUCGCGUCGAUCGUGAAAACUUGGGGCUUAACCCUGAGCUUGCGGUCGAUACGGGCAUGACUGGAGUUCGGCAGGGGAGACUGGAAUUCCUGGUGUAGCGGUGAAAUGCGCAGAUAUCAGGAGGGACACCGGUGGCGAAGGCGGGUCUCUGGGCAGUAACUGACGCUGAGGAGCGAAAGCGUGGGGAGCGAACAGG
This 254-nucleotide ribosomal RNA is filed under the name uncultured bacterium. Its description in RNAcentral is "partial 16S ribosomal RNA". It matches the Rfam family "Bacterial small subunit ribosomal RNA", at positions 524 to 776 of the family's 1533-position model. The record is from RNAcentral.